RNAcentral lists this transfer RNA (72 nucleotides) under Ovis aries (sheep). It matches the Rfam family "tRNA". Rfam says of the family: Transfer RNA (tRNA) molecules are approximately 80 nucleotides in length. Their secondary structure includes four short double-helical elements and three loops (D, anti-codon, and T loops). The record is from Rfam by way of RNAcentral. Lineage: Eukaryota; Metazoa; Chordata; Mammalia; Artiodactyla; Bovidae.
UUCCUGAUGGUCCAGCGGUUUGCCUCCAUGCUUUCACUGUGGAGGUUCCAGGUUCAAUCCCUGGUUAGGGAA